AGGACGAACGCUGGCGGCGUGCUUAACACAUGCAAGUCGAGCGGUAAGGCCCUUCGGGGUACACGAGCGGCGAACGGGUGAGUAACACGUGGGUGACCUGCCCUCCACUUCGGGAUAAGCCUGGGAAACUGGGUCUAAUACCGGAUAUGACUUCUGGGUGCAUGCCUGGUUGUGGAAAGUUUUUUUCGGUGGGGGAUGGGCCCGCGGUCUAUCAGCUUGUUGGUGGGGUGAUGGCCUACCAAGGCGACGACGG
Molecule: ribosomal RNA, 253 nt
Filed under: uncultured bacterium
Lineage: Bacteria
Description: partial small subunit ribosomal RNA
Rfam family: Bacterial small subunit ribosomal RNA
Source: RNAcentral